RNAcentral lists this ribosomal RNA (231 nucleotides) under uncultured bacterium. Its description in RNAcentral is "partial 16S ribosomal RNA". It matches the Rfam family "Bacterial small subunit ribosomal RNA", at positions 99 to 334 of the family's 1533-position model. The record is from RNAcentral.
CGGACGGGUGAGUAAUGUCUGGGAAACUGCCCGAUGGAGGGGGAUAACUACUGGAAACGGUAGCUAAUACCGCAUAACGCGCAAGACCAAAGAGGGGGACCUUCGGGCCUCUUGCCAUCGGAUGUGCCCAGAUGGGAUUAGCUAGUAGGUGGGGUAACGGCUCACCUAGGCGACGAUCCCUAGCUGGUCUGAGAGGAUGACCAGCCACACUGGAACUGAGACACGGUCCAG